Ictalurus punctatus (channel catfish) is the source of this 1688-nucleotide long non-coding RNA. RefSeq lists it as uncharacterized. The record is from RefSeq and is a predicted model, not a curated record. Lineage: Eukaryota; Metazoa; Chordata; Actinopteri; Siluriformes; Ictaluridae. The transcript has 3 exons.
UGACGCAUUCUGGGAGGCCUAAACAACCACUUAUAUACUGUGGUAGGGAGAGAGCCUAUUGGCCACAUAGUUAAUAAGGGUGACGUUUUAACCACGACACACACCCCACUACACUUAACAUAGACAUUAGGAAAAAAAUAAGUUAAACAAUAUCACUUUCUCAAAAUGAAACCUUUUACUUAACAGUUGUCUGACCUGAGACCUGACAGCAAGUGAUUAAGGAGCAUCAAAUAUAAAUCAAAUACUGCAUUCUUUGAUCCAGUGUGCGCUCACUAGCUGCCUGUCUGGUCUUUAAGUUGUACCGCCAGCUGACUGCUGAGAACAAGAAGUUCAAUCAUAAACUAUGGCACCACUAGUGAAAAAAAGGCUCCGUUUUGUCACCUGGAACACACGUGGCAUUAAAAGCCCACCACAAAAGUUUUCAGAUUUGUUGAGCAGCCUCAUUUCCCUAAAGGCUCAUAUUGCCUUCAUACAAGAGACACAUGUUGGGCCAACAUGUUAACAAAUCUUGGAUGUUGAAAACUGGAAUGUCUACUUCACUGUACACAGCUCUCGCAGUAAAGGAGUGGCAAUACUGAUCUGCUAUGAUGGACCAUUUGAGUACAUUUGCCAUGAUGAGGAUUGCAGUGGAAGUUACAUUGUGCUCUUCUGUCAUCUGUAUGGUGAACUGUACACUCUUGUUAAUGUGUACAGUCAUAAGGCAGACAAAAAUGUCUUGGCUAGAUUGAAAGACUAUCUGAGGGAAACAGCUGAGGGUGUGCUAGUGGUUGGAGGUGAUUUCAACACUGUUUUGGAUCCCAGCUUUGAUCGGGUAUCUUCAGCUGUUCUCACAAAACAGUCUUCACUAAGAGCUAUUUUAGAAGACUUUACUAUUUCUUUGAAUCUCAGAGACACCUGGUCAUACCUUCACUCUGCUGAUGGAGGCUUUACACGACGUCAGAAUGAGAGUCACUCCAGGCUGGACAUGUUUUUCAUGUGCAGCGAUGCAAUGGGACGGGUGUGUAGUAGCAAAAUACAGAGCAAUGAAAUUUCAGAUCACAAGCCUCUUGUCCUAGAACUCAAAGUGCAGCAACAGACUGGAAAUAUAAUUCCAAAGGUAGCCUUGUUUUUGAAGGAAAUUAGAGUUGAUGAAGAACCUGACAGAAGAUCAGGGAAGAUUAAUGGGGCAGAAAUACUGAGUUCCAUCAAGUCUUUGAUUGACUCCAAUCAAACACUUGGUACAAUGGAUGUGGAUUACUAUAAAAAGUUUUGUUGUCACUUGACUGAGACCUUAAAGAGAAAGUAUAACUUCAUGUUAAAGAAUAAGCAGGUACCUGAAGCUUAUUAUUCAGGAGACAUUUUCAAUGUUGACUGUUCGAUAUUUUCAGAAAUAUUGGCCAAGCGCCUUAGUGUGAAAUUAGGUGGUCCUUCCUGGAACAAACCCUCAGGAGACUAAAACAGAUAUCAUCUGUCCCUCCACUAGACUUCAGCAUUCUGGACUGCCUUCUUCCUAAAGUCCAAAACUUUUCAGGAGAACUCAGACGUCUGCGGCCUGGCAUUCCCGUCACCAACGCUAUCCUCAAUCUAGCUCUGACACAGCUAGAAGAUCUGAUUCUCAGAAGUGAAACAGAGUGCACCAGUGUUUCCUUUCACAGACAGGCACUGCUCAUACAUGCAGACCAGAGCAAACGGGGGAAAGUUGUUAGGGU